RNAcentral lists this ribosomal RNA (433 nucleotides) under uncultured bacterium. RNAcentral describes it as "partial 16S ribosomal RNA". It matches the Rfam family "Bacterial small subunit ribosomal RNA", at positions 29 to 507 of the family's 1533-position model. The record is from RNAcentral.
AACGAACGCUGGCGGCAUGCCUAACACAUGCAAGUCGAACGAGACCUUCGGGUCUAGUGGCGCACGGGUGCGUAACGCGUGGGAACCUGCCCUUAGGUUCGGAAUAACUCCCCGAAAGGGGUGCUAAUACCGGAUAAUGUCUUCGGACCAAAGAUUUAUCGCCUUUGGAUGGGCCCGUGUUGGAUUAGCUAGUUGGUAGGGUAAAAGCCUACCAAGGCGACGAUCCAUAGCUGGUCUGAGAGGAUGAUCAGCCACACUGGGACUGAGACACGGCCCAGACUCCUACGGGAAGCAGCAGUGGGGAAUAUUGGACAAUGGGCGAAAGCCUGAUCCAGCAAUGCCGCGUGAGUGAUGAAGGCCUUAGGGUUGUAAAGCUCUUUUACCCGGGAUGAUAAUGACAGUACCGGGAGAAUAAGCUCCGGCUAACUCCGUG